RNAcentral lists this long non-coding RNA (202 nucleotides) under Elaeis guineensis (African oil palm). Its description in RNAcentral is "long non-coding RNA (EGUI_LNC007633)". The record is from RNAcentral. Lineage: Eukaryota; Viridiplantae; Streptophyta; Magnoliopsida; Arecales; Arecaceae.
GUACUUAUAACUUUUUAUUAUCAAUAAAGGAUUUUUUCAUUUCAUUCAUAUUUAUGUGUCUAUGAUUUAUCCUAGAAAUUAAUAAAAAUAAUUUUUAUAUAUUCUUAAAGUAUUAAAAAUUUGAGACAUACAUUAAUUAGUGAUUAAUUUUUAAAUAUUUUCGAUCAAAGGAUCAUCACGAAAGACAGUGAUCAAUCCAUUA